RNAcentral lists this transfer RNA (84 nucleotides) under Felis catus (domestic cat). It matches the Rfam family "tRNA". Rfam says of the family: Transfer RNA (tRNA) molecules are approximately 80 nucleotides in length. Their secondary structure includes four short double-helical elements and three loops (D, anti-codon, and T loops). Lineage: Eukaryota; Metazoa; Chordata; Mammalia; Carnivora; Felidae. RNAcentral also lists the same sequence under 1 other name. The record is from Rfam by way of RNAcentral.
GCCUCAGUGGCUCAAUCAGUUAAGCAUCUGACUUCAGCUCAGGUCGUGAUCUUGCCAUUUUGAGUUCAAGCCUCUCCUUGGGCU